GCUUGAUAGUCCCAUGCCAGAGCAAACUGUGGCCCUAAUUCAUUGCCUGGCCUCUGCUCAUAGGCUGCAGACACUGAAGCAGGUUACACAGCA
RNAcentral lists this small nucleolar RNA (93 nucleotides) under Vicugna pacos (alpaca). RNAcentral's name for it is "Small nucleolar RNA SNORA42/SNORA80 family (ENSVPAG00000016902.1)". Lineage: Eukaryota; Metazoa; Chordata; Mammalia; Artiodactyla; Camelidae. The record is from RNAcentral.